This is a long non-coding RNA of Camelina sativa (false flax), 1340 nucleotides long. RefSeq lists it as uncharacterized. Lineage: Eukaryota; Viridiplantae; Streptophyta; Magnoliopsida; Brassicales; Brassicaceae. The record is from RefSeq and is a predicted model, not a curated record.
AUACAUAAAAUCAAUUGUACAUAUCUAUUCUCUCAACGAUAACAGUGGGUUCACUAAUGAUUCUGAUAGUUACGAGUGACAGAUUGUGAAUCAUAGUGAAGCUUUCUUCCUCAUUAUUGCUCCCUAUAAAUUUAAGCAGAGAAAUCAUUCAUUUUCAUCCAACUUCUUCUCUUCUCAACCACAAGAAUACAUUAAAGAGCUCUAUUCUAUAAAUGGAGAUAUCCAAUGUGAUGCUUCUUGUAGCGGUCGUAACAGCGUAUUGCCUAUGGUUCAAGAGGAUCUCACGGUGGCUUAAGGGUCCCCGUGUCUGGCCCCUAUUGGGUAGUCUUCCUGGUCUCAUAGAGCAACGUGACAGAAUGCAUGACUGGAUCACCGAGAACCUCCGUGCGUGCGGCGGCACUUAUCAGACUUGUAUCUUCGCCGUGCCUUUCUGUUUCUUGGCUAGGAAGCAAGGUCUCGUGACCGUCACUUGUGACCUUAAGAAUCUCGAACACAUGCUCAUUGCUCAAGAACCGGUUCGAUAACUACCCUAAAGGUCCUACAUGGCAAUCCGUCUUCCAUGAUCUUCUCGGUCAAGGCAUUUUCAGUUCCGACGGUGACACCUGGACGUUGCGGCAAGCCAUGGGUAGGUGGGUAAACCGAGGAAUUAAGCUCCGGUUCUGUCCAAUCCUUGAAACGGCUCAAGCCAAAUCAGAACCGGUUAAUCUCCAAGACUUAAUACUACGGCUCACAUUCGACAACAUUUGCGGAUUGGCGUUUGGUAAGGACACACGAACCUGUGCACCGGGGCUCCCCGAGAUCAGCUUUGCCUCUGCAUUCGACCGUGCCGCUCCAACGGUUUAUCAUACCCGAGUUCAUGCGGAAGCUGAAGAAAUGGCUAGGGCUUGGAUUAGAAGUCAGCGUGAGCCGAAGCUUAGGAGCUGUCAUAAAUACACGUAAGCAGGAACUGAUGAGUCAGCAAAAUUUAUAAAUUUUUCCGCAACUGUGAUAAUCGAACCACCAACUCACACUCCUCCACCCAACCCUUUACCAAUAGAACUUCGAUAAGAGGCUUUUUAAGAAAACAGGGCUGAGAAAUAUAUAAUUAGAAGCGGACCGCAAGCACAUGCUCUGUGCAUUAUUUAUAAGUUGUUUGAUACAUCAUAAAAAUCAUAUAUACAUGAAAGCCAUCCUUAAUAAUUAGCAUAUAGAUCUUAUCUUCUAUCUUUUUGUUCUAUCUUUUUGCUGAGCCGAUCUUAUCUUCUAUUUUUUUGGUGAGCCGAUCUUAUCUUCUGUGACGAGAAUAACAAGAACUAAUGAUUUUCUAUGUCGUAAGUGAAUGAUUAACAUGAUUAAUAUGA